RNAcentral lists this transfer RNA (72 nucleotides) under Camelus bactrianus (Bactrian camel). It matches the Rfam family "tRNA". Rfam says of the family: Transfer RNA (tRNA) molecules are approximately 80 nucleotides in length. Their secondary structure includes four short double-helical elements and three loops (D, anti-codon, and T loops). RNAcentral also lists the same sequence under 1 other name. Lineage: Eukaryota; Metazoa; Chordata; Mammalia; Artiodactyla; Camelidae. The record is from Rfam by way of RNAcentral.
GAGGGUAUAGCUUAGUGGUAAAGCACGUGCCUAGCAUGCACAAGAUCCUGAGUUCAAUCCCCAGUACCUCCA